CGACAACAUGGAUGCAUGAAGUCUGCUCUGUCAUGGAGGAUGCAAUUUGUAUCUCAAGAUUGCAUAGAUGUGGUGUCACUUUUGUAGGGAAGACAAAUUUGCAUGAACUGGACAUGGGAACGGCUGGAAACAAUCCAAACUAUUGUAGAAACGUUUCCAGUUUAACCAUUGCGAAGGUAUCUUGAUUGCUGAAUUUAUCCGAUAUGCUUUUGCACCAUGGGUUUCUUUUGGGAGAUAAAUACAAAUCAUAUUGAUUUAUAUCUGUGACAUAAUUUGCUAUACUAUCUGACUCCGAUCCUUAUGUACUAAGUUUAAUUGGAUAAUUGUUGGGUGAAGAGCAACAAGAAAUCCUCAUACACCAGAAAGGUAUACAGGCGGAUCUUCCUCAGCCUCAGCAGCAAUUGUAGCUUCUGGAAUAUGCCCUGCAGCGCUUGGAACAGAUGGUAGAGGUUCAGUGCGUAUACCUUCUUCCCUUUGUGGGGCAGUGUGCUUGAAGACAACAUUUGGAUGCACUGAUAUGGAAGGGUCAUUAUGUUCUGGUACUCUAGAAAUUAUUGGAACAAGUGCAUCGACUGUGGAGGAUAUAAUGCUAGUGCAAGAAAAUCAUGCUUGUAAUCGGCAAUCGUGUGCUCCUCUCUUGCGGAUAGAAUUAGUUUGAAACCGGUAUUUUUUGAAAACCUUACACCAUUGAGUACUCGCCAAGAAACUUUGAAAAAAACUGCAUUAUCAAGAUAUUACUUCUAUAAUGUGACCUUGUUGGCCACAAGAACGGAACAAAAGAAAAGUACAUGAAGAAAGAUAAUUGCAUUUACAGAAUAUAUGAGUAAUUAUCUGAUAUUCUGAUUUAGGAUUUAAUGACUCUAUAAUGUUGAUAAUUAUCCUCAUUUAAAUCUAGUCAUGCAUGGAAAUAGAUUUAUUUGGAAUUUUGUCCAGCUUUUAAUCCAUAAUAAUUAAUUAAUUAAUUUGUCUCUUCUCGCCUAUGUGCCAAAGCAAUCAUUGUUCACCUUUUGUAGGUCCCAUCUUGUGCUCCAAAUUUAUCUUUGACAAUUCAAACAUUUUGGGAUCCAUGCGACUGAAAGGAAGUAUUCAGCUGUAAUAGCCACUUCUUAGGGAAGUAGAUUAAACUCAAAUUUGUCUUACAUAUCAACUGACAUGUUUUAUAAAAGCAUAAACUUAUAUUCUCAUUCUCCUGCAGUGGUUUAAUGAUGUAUAUUCAACUGAUAUUUCUGAAAAAUGUGAGGAUGUUGUUGAUCUUUUGUCAAAAACCCAUUGUUGUGAAGUAUAAGUCUUGUUAUUAUCAUAUUCUUCAUGUAUUGUAAAUCCAUCAUUGUUUAUAA
Long non-coding RNA from Ziziphus jujuba (common jujube), 1337 nucleotides. RefSeq lists it as uncharacterized. The transcript has 5 exons. The record is from RefSeq and is a predicted model, not a curated record. NCBI's taxonomy places the organism in Eukaryota, Viridiplantae, Streptophyta, Magnoliopsida, Rosales, Rhamnaceae.